AUGACAGCCAACGGGAUUAUCGAUGCAGAGCAAAUCGCCAAACAACAGCUAAGCUAGCGUGUGUCCCGUGUCGGCUAACAAUGCUACAUGAAGGCUAAACGUCCUAAAUACACGUACAAUGACACGCUGUGUUAGUCAGCGAGGACUGAAUAUAACAUUAACUACAGAUGACAGGAAGCAGUGCCCUGGAAAUAAAUACCUGUGGUAGGAGGCCUCUCCCAUGCUGCAUGAAAUUCCAUCCCUCCCUGGUUGAGUCUUUCCAACACCAUCCUCCUCCUGUUCCUCCACAGUUAUGUCUGUCUGGGAGAGGUUUGGCUCUGCGCAGCCAUGCUGUUUGUAUCGGCUGUGUUUUGGGCUCUGGCUGUUGUGCU
Dicentrarchus labrax (European seabass) is the source of this 371-nucleotide long non-coding RNA. RefSeq lists it as uncharacterized. The record is from RefSeq and is a predicted model, not a curated record. The transcript has 3 exons. Lineage: Eukaryota; Metazoa; Chordata; Actinopteri; Moronidae.